Molecule: ribosomal RNA, 253 nt
Filed under: uncultured bacterium
Lineage: Bacteria
Description: partial 16S ribosomal RNA
Rfam family: Bacterial small subunit ribosomal RNA
Source: RNAcentral
UACGGAGGGAGCUAGCGUUGUUCGGAAUUAUUGGGCGUAAAGGGCGCGUAGGCGGCCCGGUAAGUCAAAGGUGAAAUCCCUCGGCUCAACUGAGGAACUGCCUUUGAAACUGUCGGGCUUGAGGCCGGGAGGGGGUAGCGGAAUUCCCAGUGUAGCGGUGAAAUGCGUAGAUAUUGGGAGGAACACCAGUGGCGAAGGCGGCUACCUGGACCGGUUCUGACGCUGAGGCGCGAAAGCGUGGGUAGCAAACAGG